Molecule: ribosomal RNA, 250 nt
Filed under: uncultured prokaryote
Description: partial 16S ribosomal RNA
Rfam family: Bacterial small subunit ribosomal RNA
Source: RNAcentral
UACGUAGGGGGCAAGCGUUGUCCGGAAUUAUUGGGCGUAAAGCGCGCGCAGGCGGUCUUUUAAGUCUGGUGUAUAAGCUCAGGGCUCAACUCUGGGAGGCACUGGAAACUGGAAGACUGGAGUACAGGAGAGGAAAGUGGAAUUCCACGUGUAGCGGUGAAAUGCGUAGAGAUGUGGAGGAACACCAGUGGCGAAGGCGACUUUCUGGCCUGAAACUGGCGCUGAGGCGCGAAAGCGUGGGGAGCAAACA